UGGGGAAUAUUGCACAAUGGGGGAAACCCUGAUGCAGCCAUGCCGCGUGUGUGAAGAAGGCCUUCGGGUUGUAAAGCACUUUCAGUGGUGAGGAAAGGGUGAUAGUUAAUAGCUAUCACAGUUGACGUUAGCCACAGAAGAAGCACCGGCUAACUCCGUGCCAGCAGCCGCGGUAAUACGGAGGGUGCAAGCGUUAAUCGGAAUUACUGGGCGUAAAGCGUACGUAGGCGGUGUGUUAAGCUAGAUGUGAAAGCCCCGGGCUCAACCUGGGAAUAGCAUUUAGAACUGGCACGCUAGAGUCCUGAAGAGGGUGGUAGAAUUUCCAGUGUAGCGGUGAAAUGCGUAGAUAUUGGAAGGAAUACCGGUGGCGAAGGCGGCCACCUGGUCAGAGACUGACGCUGAGGUACGAAAGCGUGGGGAGCAAACAGG
This 429-nucleotide ribosomal RNA is filed under the name uncultured bacterium. RNAcentral's name for it is "bacterial SSU rRNA". It matches the Rfam family "Bacterial small subunit ribosomal RNA", at positions 355 to 776 of the family's 1533-position model. The record is from RNAcentral.